AGUGAACGCUGGCGGUAGGCCUAACACAUGUAAGUCGAACGGCAGCACAGUAAGAGCUUGCUCUUACGGGUGGCGAGUGGCGGACGGGUGAGGAAUACAUCGGAAUCUACUUUUUCGUGGGGGAUAACGUAGGGAAACUUACGCUAAUACCGCAUACGACCUACGGGUGAAAGCAGGGGAUCUUCGGACCUCGCGCGACUGAAUGAGCCGAUGUCGGAUUAGCUAGUUGGCGGGGUAAAGGCCCACCAAGGCGACGAUCCGUAGCUGGUCUGAGAGGAUGAUCAGCCACACUGGAACUGAGACACGGUCCAGACUCCUACGGGAGGCAGCAGUGGGGAAUAUUGGACAAUGGGCGCAAGCCUGAUCCAGCCAUACCGCGUGGGUGAAGAAGGCCUUCGGGUUGUAAAGCCCUUUUGUUGGGAAAGAAAAGCAGCAGGUUAAUACCCCGCUGUUCUGACGGUACCCAAAGAAUAAGCACCGGCUAACUUCGUG
RNAcentral lists this ribosomal RNA (492 nucleotides) under uncultured bacterium. RNAcentral's name for it is "partial 16S ribosomal RNA". It matches the Rfam family "Bacterial small subunit ribosomal RNA", at positions 29 to 507 of the family's 1533-position model. The record is from RNAcentral.